CUGUUUCAAAGUGCAUACUGUGGCCGCGUGACGCUCGUCAUGGGCCUGUAACGGUCGUCACAGUCUGGUUCGUGACGAGCUUCAUGAAUCUGUGACGGUCGUCACAUCAACAAAUUUUGCAUUUCCUAUUUUCUGCUUUUUGCUGUGCUUUCUCAUCUGUUUCUUCUCCUUUUUCUUCCUUUUCUUCAUUUUGCUUAUUAAUGCUUGGAGAUUUAAAUACCUGCAAAAACAACUUAAAUACUUGCGGAAUAAUCAGAAUAUUAGUUAAAAUGGUAUGAUGUUUGAGUGUAAAUUAAGG
RNAcentral lists this long non-coding RNA (298 nucleotides) under Lathyrus oleraceus (garden pea). RNAcentral's name for it is "Pisum sativum (pea) long non-coding RNA (PSAT_LNC004477)". Lineage: Eukaryota; Viridiplantae; Streptophyta; Magnoliopsida; Fabales; Fabaceae. The record is from RNAcentral.